CAGAAAAGUAGAUGGUCAGUAGAGAACGGAAAUUCCCAAGUACCCAGCCAAUAGGAAAGGGGACGGGGACCACCCCUGGCCAGGAAAGGCUGCAGUUCUUUCAUCUGCACAAUGACAAGGCCAGGUCUCCAUCCUGGGAGCACUCCUGAGGUGACAAGGACGCACUCCUGAGGUGACAAAGACACACUCCAAAUGACAGCAUGUGGGCCCCUGAAGAAAGGAAAUCUGCAAAUACACAAAUGGUACUCCA
Vidua chalybeata is the source of this 250-nucleotide long non-coding RNA. RefSeq lists it as uncharacterized. The transcript has 2 exons. NCBI's taxonomy places the organism in Eukaryota, Metazoa, Chordata, Aves, Passeriformes, Viduidae. The record is from RefSeq and is a predicted model, not a curated record.